Long non-coding RNA from Labeo rohita (rohu), 861 nucleotides. RefSeq lists it as uncharacterized. The record is from RefSeq and is a predicted model, not a curated record. The transcript has 3 exons. Lineage: Eukaryota; Metazoa; Chordata; Actinopteri; Cypriniformes; Cyprinidae.
UGAUGCUUUCUGAACUCCAGAUCAGACUCAACUUCAGCUCUUUCAUUUACCCAGACUCAAGACCAUCACAGGAUUUCCAAAGGACACAAUCUCCAGAUAAGGCUCUUUGAUUUGCACAAGCUCAUUCAGCAUGAGAUCAGCGGCCCCCCUCUUGCUCCUUUUCAUUCUGGCUCUCAGUGAUCAAGCACAUUGUCAAAACUUUACUGAAUUUAAGAGGAAACACAUCCUUCCAGUUGAGUUUAAUACCAAGGAUGUAUGUGCUUGGAGGAAGUAUCUAUUGAACAAUGAACUCUGUGGAAGAACUAAAACACAAUCGUUCAUCAAGAGCAGUGUGGAAAAUGUAAAAAAAAUCUGUACCGAUAUAGUAAAUAACUGUACCAAAAGUACAGAUCUCUUUGAAGUGUACAUUGUUGAAAGCCCUGGGAGAAAAGAAAAACCAGACUGUAUUGGAAAGUGUACUUCAGGCAAAUAUAAAGUUUUUGUUAAAUGUGAGUACAAUCUACCUGUGCAUUAUUAUGAUCAACUCACGGAUGAGAACACAAGUCCUCAGCCUUGCUUUUAAAGAGCAUGAUCUGAUUUCAUCACAGUGAGGAUCUGAAGGAGGAGGCUUUGAAAUGUUGCUUUUAACCAUUCAUUAAAAAUGUUGCUAUGCUACGUGCUUAAAUUGGAUAUAAAUUCAAAAGCAUCUUAAUAAAGUUUUUUUUGCGAGCAGUUUUGUAAAAUAUACAGGUAUCAAAUGUAAACCCUGAAUCCAAUGUAAGUCACUUUGAAUAAAAGCAUCUGCCAAAAGCAUACAUGUAUGGUUACUGUUAUUUUGUGAAAUUAAAUUGAUUAUCUUCAGUGUAUGACAUACUGUAAAAU